This 811-nucleotide ribosomal RNA is filed under the name Hemicriconemoides chitwoodi. RNAcentral's name for it is "SSU rRNA". It matches the Rfam family "Eukaryotic small subunit ribosomal RNA", at positions 952 to 1789 of the family's 1831-position model. Lineage: Eukaryota; Metazoa; Nematoda; Chromadorea; Rhabditida; Criconematidae. The record is from RNAcentral.
CAUUUGCCAAGCGCGUCUUCAUUAUCAGACGAAAGUCAGAGGUUCGAAGGCGAUCAGAUACCGCCCUAGUUCUGACCGUAAACGAUGCCAACUAGCGAUCCGACGGCGGCUUUCAGGCCCUGUUGGGGAGCUUCCCGGAAACGAAAGUCUUCCGGUUCCGGGGGAAGUAUGGUUGCAAAGCUGAAACUUAAAGGAAUUGACGGAAGGGCACCACCAGGAGUGGAGCCUGCGGCUUAAUUUGACUCAACACGGGAAAACUCACCCGGCCCGGACACCGUGAGGAUUGACAGAUUGAUAGCUUUUUCAUGAUUCGGUGGUUGGUGGUGCAUGGCCGUUCUUAGUUCGUGGAUCGAUUUGUCUGGUUUAUUCCGAUAACGAGCGAGACUCCAGCCUACUAACUAGUGCGGGCGUUGUCUCUGCGCUUGUCACUUCUUAGAGGGAUUGGCUGCGCCUAGCGGCACGAAACGGAGCAAUAACAGGUCUGUGAUGCCCUUAGAUGUCCGGGGCUGCACGCGCGCUACACUGGCAAAGGCAGCGUGCUUGUCCGCCUCCGAAAGGAGCCGGUAAACCCUUGAAAAUUUGCCGUGAUUGGGAUCGGAAAUUGCAAUUAUUUUCCGUGAACGAGGAAUUCCUAGUAAGUGCGAGUCAUCAGCUCGCGUUGAUUACGUCCCUGCCCUUUGUACACACCGCCCGUCGCUGCCUAGAACUGAGCCAUUUCGAGAAUAUUCGGGAUCGCUGGUUGCGGGCCUUUCGGGGCACGCCUCUGGCAAGAGAACGAACGUAAUCGCAGUGGCUUGAACCGGGCAAAAGU